UGUCACGACUGAUAAAGUUAUCUUUCAUCUUGGACCGGUAGAUAAACUCACAACAAUGAAAGCAUUUUUCGUGAUCUUUUUGAUAAUUUUGUGUGUUAAGAUGUUCGAGGGAAAUAUUCAUUCUUCGAGACAUCAUAAUUAUCCGAGACAUCGUCAUCCGGGCCAUCAUCAUCAUCAUCAUCUGGGCCAUCAUCAUCCGGGAGGACAUCAUCAUGGAUGACAUCCUCGCGCAUGGCUUUUCCCUGACCAGUUUGACCAUUGCAGGAUUUGGCCGUUGGUCCUUGUAAUUUAAGGUAGUUAAGUAAAAAUAUUGUUUAUGUUUCCCUCUGGCU
Bradysia coprophila is the source of this 332-nucleotide long non-coding RNA. RefSeq lists it as uncharacterized. Lineage: Eukaryota; Metazoa; Arthropoda; Insecta; Diptera; Sciaridae. The record is from RefSeq and is a predicted model, not a curated record.